RNAcentral lists this ribosomal RNA (201 nucleotides) under uncultured bacterium. Its description in RNAcentral is "partial 16S ribosomal RNA". It matches the Rfam family "Bacterial small subunit ribosomal RNA", at positions 1300 to 1500 of the family's 1533-position model. The record is from RNAcentral.
GCAGGCUGCAACUCGCCUGCAUGAAGCUGGAAUUGCUAGUAAUCGCGGAUCAGCAAGCCGCGGUGAAUACGUUCCCGGGCCUUGUACACACCGCCCGUCACACCAUGAGAGUCGGGAACACCCGAAGUCCGUAGCCUAACAGCAAUGAGGGCGCGGCCGAAGGUGGGUUCGAUAAUUGGGGUGAAGUCGUAACAAGGUACC